This 27-nucleotide non-coding RNA is filed under the name Mus musculus (house mouse). Lineage: Eukaryota; Metazoa; Chordata; Mammalia; Rodentia; Muridae. The record is from RNAcentral.
UGACAUGGACAAGGGGUGGUGGGUAGC